This 253-nucleotide ribosomal RNA is filed under the name uncultured bacterium. Its description in RNAcentral is "partial 16S ribosomal RNA". It matches the Rfam family "Bacterial small subunit ribosomal RNA", at positions 524 to 776 of the family's 1533-position model. The record is from RNAcentral.
GACGGAAGGUGCAAGCGUUGCUCGGAAUCACUGGGCGUAAAGGGUGCGUAGGCGGCCGUGCAAGUCUGGCGUGAAAGCCCCGGGCUCAGCCCGGGAAGUGCGCUCGAAACUGCGCGGCUCGAGUGCCGGAGGGGAGAGUGGAAUUCCUGGUGUAGCGGUGAAAUGCGCAGAUAUCAGGAGGAACACCGGUGGCGAAGGCGGGUCUCUGGGCCGAUACUGACGCUGAGGAGCGAAAGCAUGGGGAGCGAACAGG